Molecule: ribosomal RNA, 440 nt
Filed under: uncultured bacterium
Lineage: Bacteria
Description: partial 16S ribosomal RNA
Rfam family: Bacterial small subunit ribosomal RNA
Source: RNAcentral
CCUACGGGAGGCAGCAGUGGGGAAUAUUGCACAAUGGGGGAAACCCUGAUGCAGCGACGCCGCGUGAGUGAAGAAGUAAUUCGUUAUGUAAAGCCCUAUCAGCAGGGAAGAAAAUGACGGUACCUGAGUAAGUAUCCCCGGUUACCUCCGUGCCAGCAGCCGCGGUAAUACGUAGGGGGCAAGCGUUAUCCGGAUUGACUGGGUGUAAAGGGAGCGUAGACGGCAGUGCAAGUCUGGAGGGAAAGGCGGGGGCUCAACCCCCGGACUGCUCUGGAAACUGGACGGCUGGAGUGCGGGAGAGGUAAGUGGAAUGCCUAGUGUAGCGGUGAAAUGCGUAGAUAUUAGGAAGAACACCAGUGGCGAAGGCAGCUUACUGGACUGUAACUGACGUUGAGGCUCGAAAGCGUGGGAAGCAAACAGGAUUAGAUACCCCAGUAGUC